AGCGAACGCUGGCGGCGUGCCUAACACAUGCAAGUCGAGCGAGAAAGGGGUGGCAACACCCUGAGUAAAGCGGCGAACGGGUGAGUAACGCGUGGGCAAUCUACCUUCCAGUCUGGGAUAACCUUCCGAAAGGAGGGCUAAUACCGGAUGAUGUCCUGUUGGGGCAUCCUGAGGGGAGCAAAGGGGGCGACCCGCAAGGGGCUCUCGCUGGAGGAGGAGCCUGCGUCCGAUUAGCAGUUGGUGGGGUAACGGCUCACCAAGGCGACGAUCGGUAGCCGGCCUGAGAGGGUGACCGGCCACACUGGGACUGAGACACGGGCCCAGACUCCUACGGGAGGCAGCAGUGGGGAAUCUUGCGCAAUGGGCGAAAGCCUGACGCAGCGACGCCGCGUGGGGGACGAAGGCCUUCGGUUGUAACCC
Molecule: ribosomal RNA, 420 nt
Filed under: uncultured bacterium
Lineage: Bacteria
Description: bacterial SSU rRNA
Rfam family: Bacterial small subunit ribosomal RNA
Source: RNAcentral